Molecule: long non-coding RNA, 797 nt
Filed under: Spirodela polyrhiza (greater duckweed)
Lineage: Eukaryota; Viridiplantae; Streptophyta; Magnoliopsida; Alismatales; Araceae
Description: long non-coding RNA (SPOL_LNC001618)
Source: RNAcentral
GCGUGAUUGCCAUCGUCGACUGCGCUGCCUUCCCGGCACUCUUCGACCUUUCCCUGGUAGAUAAGAGGGAUGUGCUUGUUGGAGACUUCAUGCCCAGCACCGACUUCACCGGUGGCAUGCGGGUAAUGGUCUACAUGGAUCCCUCCGAGCAGACGCAUACCGCCGGAAAAGCCUUCUGCAUCGAUCUUCUCAAGCGAAGGGCUCGAGUGUGGGUGUCGGAGUUCCUCCUGAGCACCGAUGUCAUGCUGACGACGAUCGAGAAGGAAUUGUCGGGGAGCAACAACGGGAGCGCUGGCUUGCUGCUUCCCCUGCAGAAGUGCAUCUUCUCCUUUCUGUGCAAAAGCUUGAUAGGGGCCGACCCGGCGACUUCUCCUGAGAUCGCCGACUGCGGCUUUGCCAUGUUGGACGAGUGGCUCUCUCUGCAGCUACUUCCCACCGUCAGUAUCGGGGUCCUCCAGCCGCUGGAGGAAGUCUUCCUCCACUCCUUUGCCUACCCAUUCGCCCUCGUGAAGGGCAAGUACCAUAAGCUUUACAACUUCCUGGAGAAGGAAGGAAGUGAGGUCAUUGGGAUGGCCACCAGCGAGUACGGCCUCAGCAAGGAAGCGGCGCUCCACAAUCUUCUCUUCGUCCUGGGGUUCAACGCCUUCGGGGGUUUCUCCAUCUUCCUCCCGACAAUAAUCACCACCCUUGGGACAGACACCGCAGGGCUCCAGGGACGCCUCCGAGCAGAGGUCCACCGAGUGCUGGCCGGAGGGCGCCAGCUCGGGUUCGACACGAUCAGGGAGAUGGAGCUGGUU